This is a non-coding RNA of Ornithorhynchus anatinus (platypus), 72 nucleotides long. The record is from Rfam. NCBI's taxonomy places the organism in Eukaryota, Metazoa, Chordata, Mammalia, Monotremata, Ornithorhynchidae.
AGCAGCGUGGCUCAGUGGAAAGAGCCUGGGCUUCAGAGUCAGAGGUCCUGGAUUCGACUCCCGGCUCUGCCA